AAUGCCUUCUCACAACCGUUGUGAUUGCACUCGAACGGUUUUACUUUUGUGUGUACUCUAAUGUGGAUCUUAAGGCUGUACGAGAUUUCCUACGGUGCUGUAAGUGCGUGAGCAACCGUCGUACUCGCACUCGUAACGACUAAUGUGCUUUUGAUUGGUGUCUGGAUCUGUACUCUCGAUCGUGAUCGUUGCAUGCGAAGGAUCAUCCGGCAUUGAGUCAUGUUGACCAGGAUGAAUUCGCAUGUAAAUUUCAUUAGGGCUUAUCGUGUGAUGUAUAUAUCUGAAAUUUAAUGCAAGAUUCCCUUUUUAGUCACUUCUCUAAGCUUCGUAACUGAAAUUGUAAGAAAAGUUUUGUGUUAAUAUUUUACUGAAUCAAAUAUGGUAUAUUCAUUCCAACAAAUUUUCAUGCGUAGAUUAGAAAAACUAUUAAAAAAAACAUGUUCGUGUUUGAGAUAUAUCAUAAAUAUAAUAGUCAACGUAAUGUCAAGUUCUCAAAAAAUUUGUGGUAUGCGAGUAUGACAGUAUGAAUCAGAUUGUAGAAAUUGGCACCUCUCCUGUGAAAUGAAUCAAUGCUACUUUAUAAUUCGGAAUAUUUAAAAUAAAGUGUCAGAAUCACUUAUAUUCCGGGCUGAAUCACAGUAUUCAAAUGCAAGUACUCAAUGGAAAAAAACUUUUUUAAUUUUAGUGCAAUUGAAUGGCAAUUAAAAUUAUAAUGUGAUUCGGUUCUAUGUAUGUUUCUGUUGAAAUUAAUAAAUUGAGUAGAAUUUUUA
Long non-coding RNA from Venturia canescens, 770 nucleotides. RefSeq lists it as uncharacterized. The transcript is spliced from 2 exons. NCBI's taxonomy places the organism in Eukaryota, Metazoa, Arthropoda, Insecta, Hymenoptera, Ichneumonidae. The record is from RefSeq and is a predicted model, not a curated record.